Molecule: ribosomal RNA, 301 nt
Filed under: uncultured bacterium
Lineage: Bacteria
Description: partial 16S ribosomal RNA
Rfam family: Bacterial small subunit ribosomal RNA
Source: RNAcentral
CAGCAGCCGCGGUAAUACGUAGGGGGCAAGCGUUAUCCGGAUUUACUGGGUGUAAAGGGAGCGCAGACGGCAGUGCAAGUCUGAAGUGAAAGGCGUGGGCUCAACCCAUGAACUGCUUUGGAAACUGUAUAGCUUGAGUGUCGGAGGGGUAAGCGGAAUUCCUAGUGUAGCGGUGAAAUGCGUAGAUAUUAGGAGGAACACCGGAGGCGAAGGCGGCUUACUGGACGACAACUGACGUUGAGGCUCGAAGGCGUGGGGAGCAAACAGGAUUAGAUACCCCCGUAGUCCCUGUCUCUUAUAC